ACCAGCCAGUGUUCUUAACCAUUGAGCCAUCUCUCCAGCCCCAGAUGCUGGAGAUUUAAAGGUGACUUAAAGAUGUAACUUCAGUGAACCGGACAUGGUUUCCAAUCCCAGUGCACUCGGUGAAUGCCCACUGAGACCUAUGCUUCAGUGUCUUCAUCUAAAAAAUGACAGGUUUGGGGUUUAGAUUACUAGUAUGUACUAAGGUUUUAUUAGUGCUGGGUGGCUUGCACAUUACUAAGUACUGCCCCCUGCCUUUAAAGUCUGAAACUGUUAUUGCUACCCAAAUCUUAUAAUUGGAUUGAGAAAACAAACCACAAUUAGAAAAAAAGAUAACUAAUAAUACUAGGAAUUAUGUGAUUAAUGUUACAUAACGGACUGUAGGGAUGAGAACAUACAAAGCCUGUACUGAAGAUCUUUAUUGUGGAAAUUGUUAACUGCAAUUUCUCUAAUAAAGACUGGUAAACCACCUCUUUUGGCGUUAUCAAGAAUUCGUACUUGAGGGCCAGUGGGAGGCUCAGGGUAUAAGGGUGGUUGCUGUCAAGCCUAACAACUGAGUUCAGUCCCUGGGACCCACAUGUUGGAAGGAAAGAAUUGGCUCCCACAGGCUGUCCUCUGACUGCCACAUGUGUGCUGUGGCAUGCCUGUGCGCUCAUGCACACAUGGACACACACACACACACACAAUGUAAUUUUAUUGAAAAAGAGUUUCCACUUGAUAAUACUUACUUGCAGAAUUUGUACAAUUGGUAUAACUUAUUUUGGUUUGUCCACUUUAAAAAAAAAAACAACUUUAAAAAUGUAAAAAUAAUGUAUCCCCAGUAUAUUGAGGUAAGUUGAAAUGGGUAAAAGAUAUAUUUUUACAGUACAGUGCAUCAUCCAAAAAUGUCUUUUUAUUCCUAAUGCUCAUCGAGUUUUUCAUUUUGUUCCUGUUGUACUCCUAGCUUUUAGCCCAGUGACUGACUUUUAGUAAGCAUUUCAGAAGUACGGUUAAGGGACAAAUAUGAAAUUAUAUUUUAACUGUUAAGCAUUUUUUGAAUCAUGUAAAAGUAAUUGUUAAAAAUGAUUCCAUUUGCUACACAUACCUGGAGAGGUCACAGAUCUUAGAGAAAGCCCCGAGGCUCUCACAUCCCUAGACAAAUGUAAUUUCUGUACAAAAUAUGAAUCCUUAAAUUUACAGACAAGUAUUCUACCAUCCAUCAAAUAAGCUUCUUUUUCAACAGAGAUUAUUACAGAGUUCCACAACUGGUCACACACAGAGAAUUGACCAAAGCCUAAGGGGCACAUCUACAAUGCAACCUCUACUCUUAAGGCUCAUGGAACAUAGAACAAGGGAUGAAGAGGACACUAAUGCACACUAAUGCAUCUUUUUUAAAAAAAUAUUUUAUUAUUAUUUUUACCAGAGCAUAGGGUAGGGUUUUUUUUUUUUUAACAGAAGCAUGGGAGUCCCACAUUUAUACUUGCACUGUAAAGUCCACACUCAAGUACAGAUCCUGUGACUUCCUGACAGCCCAACAAAAUGGUGAGAGAAGUGCCUCUUGGUGUUCUCGGCUUAUAUAUCCUUUGCUUCUCCCCCCACAUACAGCUAAGGUUGACUGAUUGGGUGAGGGGGUAACUGAUUCUCCCCGCAACUCCUUGAUGAGUGUGGAAAGGAGGUGUGACUAUAGCUUGCCAGCAUAGUGGUCAGAGAAUAUUUCCAGUUAACAGUCCACCCCUCCCUCCGGCUCUUACAUUCUUUCCGCCAACCUCUUCCGCAGAAGUCACUGAGCCUUGGAGGGGGUAGUAGGUGUGGGAUGAUCUUCUUUCUGUUGUGGCAAGGCACUGAACUUUAAGGUCUCUGCAUCAUCUGUUUUCCAUGGUCUGUUGGCUGGUUUCAGUGGGAUUCUAUCUACUAUAAAAAUACACAUAGCAAGAAGCGAGACCAUCUAAAUAAACAGUGACUGCUAUAAUAACCUAUGGGAGUAAACAUAAAUGCUUGGUUGGCACUUUGGCAGGUGCAUCAUUUCCAUCUAACAAAGCAAUUGUGGUGACUUCCAACUCGGGCCUAUAUUCUCCCCAGCCACACGGGGUUGGUUGGGUCUACAGUACCAGGUGUGUGUUCCACCCCUAGGAGCAGAUAUGGUAUCCAAUUGAAAAUGCGCUGGUUGUACAUACACUAGUCACUAUUGCACCAGCAGGAACACUAAUUUGUCUUUCAGUUCUCAUCAGUGAGGCUUAGUUGAAGAAUUAUUAGCAGUUGAUUACUGCUGGGUGAGGAAGAGCUGAUUUUCUUAAAGGGAAGGACUCUAAUAGGCUGACUAGACCUAAGUGGAUGAACUUGCACUGAGGGACAUCUGGGGACAGUAACUUGACAUGAUAGGCCUUAACACAAAUGACAGAAUGUAUGAAUUCAAGUGGGGUGACUUUGGGAGGGGGCCGAUGGGGAAGGGGUUAUAAAGAUGAUUAGGAUGUUCUGUAUGAAAUCCACAGAAAUUCAAUAAAAGUUAAAAAAUAAUUAUUCCAUUUGGGGCGCUGGAGAAAUGGCUUAGUGGUUAAGAACAUUGGGUGCUCUUGCAGAGGGCCCAGGUUUGAUUCCUAGCACCCACAUGGCAGCUAACAACCAUCCUUAACUCCAGUUCCAGGGGAAUCUGACACCCUUUUCUGACCUCCCUGCAGGAUUGCAUGACAUGGGUACACUUACAUACAUGCAGGCAAUAUACUC
This 2697-nucleotide long non-coding RNA is filed under the name Nannospalax galili (Upper Galilee mountains blind mole rat). RNAcentral's name for it is "lncRNA (ENSNGAG00000024466.1)". The record is from RNAcentral. Lineage: Eukaryota; Metazoa; Chordata; Mammalia; Rodentia; Spalacidae.